AUACGGGAGGCAGCAGUGAGGAAUAUUGGACAAUGGACGCAAGUCUGAUCCAGCGACGCCGCGUGAGCGAUGAAGGUCUUCGGAUUGUAAAGCUCGGUAAGAUGGGAAGAAAAAGCACGGGGUAAUAUUCCGUGUCUUGACGGUACCAUCCUAAAGCCUCGGCUAAAUACGUGCCAGCAGCCGCGGUAAUACGUAUGAGGCAAGCGUUGUUCGGAAUUAUUGGGCGUAAAGGGCAUCUAGGCGGGAUGUUAAGUCAGGUGUGAAAUUCCACGGCUCAACUGUGGACCUGCAUUUGAUACUGGCAUUCUUGAGUUCGGUAGAGGAAGGCGGAAUUCCCGGUGUAGCGGUGAAAUGCGUAGAUAUCGGGAAGAACACCGGUGGCGAAGGCGGCCUUCUGGACCUGACUGACGCUGACAUGCGAAAGUGUGGGGACCAAACGGGAUUAGAUACCCCGGUAGUC
This 460-nucleotide ribosomal RNA is filed under the name uncultured bacterium. RNAcentral describes it as "bacterial SSU rRNA". It matches the Rfam family "Bacterial small subunit ribosomal RNA", at positions 339 to 795 of the family's 1533-position model. The record is from RNAcentral.